This 889-nucleotide long non-coding RNA is filed under the name Nicotiana benthamiana. Its description in RNAcentral is "long non-coding RNA (NBEN_LNC003039)". The record is from RNAcentral. Lineage: Eukaryota; Viridiplantae; Streptophyta; Magnoliopsida; Solanales; Solanaceae.
UUUCUCCCACCUUUCUUCUCGCCCUCAAUUCCUCUUUUCCCCUCCACACUACUAUAAACAAUGGAUGAGCCUUCAAAAUUCACAAAAUCAGGCAGAAAUAUACUGUUUUUCUCUAUUUCUUUAACAAAAGAAUCUUUUAUAUUUAUUAUUUCUUUUUUUGUUUAAUUAAAACCCAACUGAUUAGGGUUCGAGUUUCGUUCCUCCUACGAUGCUGCUUCAGUAUCCUAGCCGUGGUAGUAGCGUCACUGAUUCUGACGACUCUUAGGAUAACGAACGGAGCUGUUUUGAUUAUUGUUGUUGUAUUUUGCUAUUUGGAACUGGUCAUGCCUGAAUAAUUUGUCCGGUGGCCCUUACUGUUGUUAUUUGUACACUUUUCGGCAAAACUCAUAUCCUCAGGUGAACAUCCCCUUGGUUCUGUUUCGUUACUGUUUUUCCAUUGCACUUGUUUUGGUUAAGUUGGUUGAAAUAACGUGGUGAAUCAAGGUUACAAUUUACCGCUAAGGAGUCCGAAUCUUGAGGCGUUCACUACCCAACGACUUCUGAUUUUUUGCUUAGUGUUCUUGCAUAUUUGGAGUUUUGCUUUUUGUCGAAGAUUUUCAGUGCUUGUGUGCGCUUGCGCGCUUCGGUGUUAGUGCCUCCCUUAGGAAAUCUUCAGUUGCUGGGUGGGAUUUUGAAAGGGUGAUCUUUGUUGGUGGUUAGGGAAUGACUGACGGUGGUUAUAUACAUAAAGAUGUUGUAAUGGUGUCUAUGAAGUUGUUUAUUGGGGCAUUUUGAAAUUUUCUUCCAUUUUUUAAUUAUUUACUUACCUAUGUGGCACUAGUAAUGACGUGGCGUCCUACGUGUAAGAUAUUGUAUUACACGCACUGGUAGGUUCCUGUGAUAAGUGUUU